GCAGUUGUGAUUGAGGAUUGAAACGUGUA
This 29-nucleotide non-coding RNA is filed under the name Cricetulus griseus (Chinese hamster). Lineage: Eukaryota; Metazoa; Chordata; Mammalia; Rodentia; Cricetidae. The record is from RNAcentral.